This 406-nucleotide ribosomal RNA is filed under the name uncultured bacterium. RNAcentral's name for it is "partial 16S ribosomal RNA". It matches the Rfam family "Bacterial small subunit ribosomal RNA", at positions 30 to 526 of the family's 1533-position model. The record is from RNAcentral.
AUUGAACGCUGGCGGCAGGCCUAACACAUGCAAGUCGAACGAGUGGCGGCCGGGUGAGUAACGCGUGGUAACCUGCCUCAUAGCGGGGGAUAACUAUUUGAAACGAUAGCUAAUACCGCAUACUUUGAGAUGGACCUGCGUGGUAUUAGCUAGUUGGUGAGGUAAAGGCUCACAAAGGCGACGAUACAUAGCCGACCUGAGAUGGUGAUCGUCCACACUGUGACUGAGACACGGCCCGUACUCCUACGGGAUGCAGCAGGGGGGAAUAUUGCACAAUGGGCGCAAGCCUGAUGCAGCCAUGCCGCGUGUAUGAAGAAGGCCUUCGGGUUGUAAAGUACGUUCAGCGGGGAGGCGUUACCCGCAGAAGAAGCACCGGCUAACUCCGUGCCAGCAGCCGCGGUAAUUC